CACGGGGGGAGCAAGCGUUGUUCGGAAUCACUGGGCGUAAAGGGCGUGCAGGCGGUCAGGUAAGUGGGAUGUGAAAUGCCCCGGCUCACCCGGGGACCGGCAUCUCAUACUGCUUGGCUUGAGUACGGGAGAGGAUGUGGGAAUUCCUGGUGUAGCGGUGAAAUGCGCAGAUAUCAGGAGGAACACCGGUGGCGAAGGCGGAUCUCUGGGCCAUUACUGACGCUGAGGAGCGAAAGCGUGGGGAGCGAACAGG
This 253-nucleotide ribosomal RNA is filed under the name uncultured bacterium. RNAcentral's name for it is "partial 16S ribosomal RNA". It matches the Rfam family "Bacterial small subunit ribosomal RNA", at positions 524 to 776 of the family's 1533-position model. The record is from RNAcentral.